Peromyscus leucopus (white-footed mouse) is the source of this 400-nucleotide long non-coding RNA. RefSeq lists it as uncharacterized. The transcript is spliced from 2 exons. NCBI's taxonomy places the organism in Eukaryota, Metazoa, Chordata, Mammalia, Rodentia, Cricetidae. The record is from RefSeq and is a predicted model, not a curated record.
UGGUCCCCGUGAUGCAAAAGUAGCUAGCACACGUCUGUUCUGUCUCUGCGUCCCAGGCCUGGCACAGGACAGGCCACACAGUCACUGUCGUUGGCAAGAGUGACUCAGUGGGUCCGGAAGAGGAUCACCAAUUCCUUGCCAUCGGCCAGCAUUCCUGUCACACUGCACAGAACGCUGCAUUCGUUAGCAACCGCUUUCCCACCUGGAUCCACAACUCACACAGCCAUUGACCUGUUUUGUGUCUCCGUGGAUUUGCCUGUUCUAGACACUUCAUGAAGUCACACACAGACAGGCGACUCUGGUGUCUGCUUCUGUCUUUAAAGUCCGUCUCCACUGUAGCGUGUGUAAGUGCUCGGCUCCAUUCCUCCUCAUUGCCGAAUAAUGUUCCGUUGCCUGGGCA